AGAGUUUGAUCCUGGCUCAGGACGAACGCUGGCGGCGUGCUUAACACAUGCAAGUCGAACGAGAAUCACCGGAAGGAGUUUUCGGACAACGGAAGGUGAGGAAAGUGGCGGACGGGUGAGUAACGCGUGAGGAACCUGCCUUGGAGAGGGGGACAACAGCUGGAAACGGCUGCUAAUACCGCAUAAUGCAAUGGAGUCGCAUGGCUUUAUUGCCAAAGAUUUAUCGCUCUGAGAUGGCCUCGCGUCUGAUUAGCUAGUUGGUGGGGUAACGGCCCACCAAGGCGACGAUCAGUAGCCGGACUGAGAGGUUGAACGGCCACAUUGGGACUGAGAUACGGCCCAGACUCCUACGGGAGGCAGCAGUGGGGAAUAUUGGGCAAUGGGCGCAAGCCUGACCCAGCAACGCCGCGUGAAGGAAGAAGGCUUUCGGGUUGUAAACUUCUUUUAAGAGGGAAGAGCAGAAGACGGUACCUCUAGAAUAAGCCACGGCUAACUACGUGCCAGCAGCCGCGGUAAUACGUAGGUGGCAAGCGUUGUCCGGAUUUACUGGGUGUAAAGGGCGUGCAGGCGGGUCUGCAAGUCAGAUGUGAAAUCCAGGGGCUCAACUCCUGAACUGCAUUUGAAACUGUAGAUCUUGAGUACCGGAGGGGCAAGCGGAAUUCCUAGUGUAGCGGUGAAAUGCGUAGAUAUUAGGAGGAACACCAGUGGCGAAGGCGGAUUGCUGGACGGCAACUGACGGUGAGGCGCGAAAGUGUGGGGAGCAAACAGGAUUAGAUACCCUGGUAGUCCACACUGUAAACGAUGGAUACUAGGUGUGCGGGGACUGACCCCCUGCGUGCCGGCGUAAACACAAUAAGUAUCCCACCUGGGGAGUACGAUCGCAAGGUUGAAACUCAAAGGAAUUGACGGGGGCCCGCACAAGCGGUGGAUUAUGUGGUUUAAUUCGAAGCAACGCGAAGAACCUUACCAGGGUUUGACAUCCUGCUAACGAAGUAGAGAUACAUNNCGAGACUGCCGUUGACAAAACGGAGGAAGGUGGGGACGACGUCAAAUCAUCAUGCCCCUUAUGUCCUGGGCUACACACGUAAUACAAUGGCGGUCAACAGAGGGAAGCAAAGCCGCGAGGCAGAGCAAAUCCCCAAAAGCCGUCUCAGUUCGGAUCGCAGGCUGCAACUCGCCUGCGUGAAGUCGGAAUUGCUAGUAAUCGCGGAUCAGCAUGCCGCGGUGAAUACGUUCCCGGGCCUUGUACACACCGCCCGUCACACCAUGAGAGUCGGGAACACCCGAAGUCCGUAGCCUAACCGCAAGGGGGGCGCGGCCGAAGGUGGGUUCGAUAAUUGGGGUGAAGUCGUAACAAGGUAGCCGUUCGAGAACGAGCGGCUG
RNAcentral lists this ribosomal RNA (1383 nucleotides) under bovine gut metagenome. Its description in RNAcentral is "bacterial SSU rRNA". It matches the Rfam family "Bacterial small subunit ribosomal RNA". The record is from RNAcentral.